RNAcentral lists this ribosomal RNA (505 nucleotides) under uncultured bacterium. Its description in RNAcentral is "partial 16S ribosomal RNA". It matches the Rfam family "Bacterial small subunit ribosomal RNA", at positions 28 to 507 of the family's 1533-position model. The record is from RNAcentral.
GACGAACGCUGGCGGCGUGCCUAAUACAUGCAAGUGGGACGCAAGGACACACACUGUGCUUGCACACCGUGUUUUCUUGAGUCGCGAACGGGUGAGUAACGCGUAGUUAACCUGCCUAUUAGCGGGGGAUAACUAUUGGAAACGAUAGCUAAUACCGCAUAAUAUUAAUUAUUGCAUGAUAAUUGAUUGAAAGAUGCAAGCGCAUCACUAGUAGAUGGACCUGCGUUGUAUUAGCUAGUUGGUAAGGUAAGAGCUUACCAAGGCGACGAUACAUAGCCGACCUGAGAGGGUGAUCGGCCACACUGGGACUGAGACACGGCCCAGACGCCUACGGGAGGCAGCAGUAGGGAAUCUUCGGAAAUGGACGAAAGUCUGACCGAGCAACGCCGCGUGAGUGAAGAAGGGUUUCGGAUCGUAAAGCUCUGUUGUAAGUCAAGAACGUGUGUGAGAGUGGAAAGUUCACACAGUGACGGUAGCUUACCAGAAAGGGACGGCUAACUACGUG